CGGAGAUAGCUGGUUCUCUCCGAAAUAGCUUUAGGGCUAGCCUUGAAAUAGAUUACCGGAGGUAAAGCACUGAAUUGGCUAGGGGCCGAGAGGUUACUGAACCUUAUCAAACUAAGAAUGCCGGAUAAUCGUUUUUCAGGAGUCAGACAGUGGGAGAUAAGUUUCAUUGUCCAAAGGGAAACAGCCCAGACCCACAGCUAAGGUCCCCAAGUAUAGUUAAGUGGAAAAGGAUGUGGAAUUGCACAGACAACCAGGAUGUUGGCUUAGAAGCAGCCACUCAUUAAAAGAGUGCGUAAUAGCUCACUGGUCGAGUGACUCUGCGCCGAAAAUUUAACGGGGCUAAACUAUACACCGAAGCUUGGGAUACAUCUAAUGUAUGGUAGGAGAGCGUUCUGUAUGGGGAGAAGUCGUAGCGAAAGCGGCGGUGGACUAUACAGAAGUGAGAAUGCCGGAAUAAGUAGCGAGAAUUAAGUGAGAAUCUUAAUGGCCGAAAGUCUAAGGUUUUUGGAGGAAGGUUCGUCCGCUCCAAGUAAGUCGGGAGCUAAGGUCAGGCCGAAAGGCGUAGCCGAUGCACAUACGGUUGAUAUUCCGUAACCAUCUGUAAUUUAAGCAAAGGGACACUUCAAAAGGGUGUGACCCGGGCGUUGGUUGACCCGGGCGUAAGGGACCGAAAUUAGAGUAGGGAAGCACACUUGGCUGAAGGCGAGAAAAGCUUUGCGUAUAGAAACAGAUGCCCGUACCGCAAACCGACACAGGUGGACAGGAAGAGAAUUCUAAGGCCAGCGGGAGAAGGGUAGUUAAGGAACUCGGCAAAUUGACUCCGUAACUUCGGAAUAAGGAGUGCUCGAAAGAGCCGCAGAGAAUAGGCCCAGGCGACUGUUUAGCAAAAACACAGGUCUCUGCCAAAUCGAAAGAUGAAGUAUAGGUGCUGACACCUGCCCGGUGCCGGAAGGUUAAGAGGAGGAGUGAGAGCUCCGAAUUGAAGCCCCGGUAAACGGCGGCCGUAACUAUAACGGUCCUAAGGUAGCGAAAUUCCUUGUCGGGUAAGUUCCGACCCGCACGAAUGGUGUAACGAUCUGGGCACUGUCUCAACUACCCACCCGGCGAAAUUGUAGUACCGGUGAAGAUGCCGGUUACCUGCGGCAAGACGGAAAGACCCCAUGGAGCUUUACUGUAGCCUGAUAUUGGGUUUCGGAAAUCUAUGUACAGGAUAGGCGGGAGACUUGGAAACAUGAGCGUCAGCUUGUGUGGAGUCGAUGUUGGGAUACCGCCCUUAGGUUUCUGGAAUUCUAACCUGCGGCCGUGAAACCGGUCGGGGGACAUUGUCAGGUGGGCAGUUUGACUGGGGCGGUCGCCUCCGAAAAGGUAACGGAGGCGCUCAAAGGUUAGCUCAGCACGGACGGAAACCGUGCCUCUGAGUGUAAACGCAAAAGCUAGCCUAACUGCGAGGGUGACGGCCCGAGCAGUAACGAAAGUUGGAGUUAGUGAUCCGGCGGUAUGUG
This 1502-nucleotide ribosomal RNA is filed under the name human gut metagenome. Its description in RNAcentral is "bacterial LSU rRNA". It matches the Rfam family "Bacterial large subunit ribosomal RNA", at positions 840 to 2432 of the family's 2925-position model. The record is from RNAcentral.